Clupea harengus (Atlantic herring) is the source of this 1200-nucleotide long non-coding RNA. The record is from Ensembl. Lineage: Eukaryota; Metazoa; Chordata; Actinopteri; Clupeiformes; Clupeidae.
UCCGACGCCUGUGAUCCUGUGCAGAAUGUCACGUCGCCCCACUGACAUUUGAUAAUGAGAUGAAAUGUCCAUUCAGGGGCAACAGGUUCUCUCGUGAGCUCUAAUCUCUCCCUCCAAAAAGGCCUCGUCGUGUCUCUCAAUCCUCCUGUUUCCUGUGAAGAAAAAUCAAUCUUAACUUGUUUUCACAUCAUUAUGUGAAAUAUCAUCAUGUAUAGCAGCUGCAGUAGCCAUCCUCUUUGUACAUUUCUUUAGAUUUUAUUUUUGGGCUUUUUGCAUUUAAUCGGAUAGGACAGUGAAGAGAGACAGGAAGCGAGCUGGGGAGAGAUCGGGAGACCGCGGGAUCGGGAAUUGACCGAGAGUCGGACUCGAGCUCGGGUCCCCGUGGGCGUUCAGGCCCAUCCAUGGUACGGGGCUGCUGAUUGCGCCACAGCACCCCCCUCUUUCUACGUUUCCGACUGUGAAUCCACUGAAAUGAUAAUAUCUUAGGCAAGUUAGGUAGCCUAUGUGCUGAAAUGAUAAUAUCUUAGGCAAGUUAGGUAGCCUAUGUGCUGAAAUGUGCCGCCCGUUUCCAUUCUACCAUCUCGGUGUCUGAUCUGAAGUUACCGGUGACAUUGCUGUACCUUCGAGCGUGUCGGCUGAGCCUCAGGGAAGGCUUCACGGUCGCCACCGAGCCACACCAGGAGAGCUCGUCGCUGCUUUAUAGAUCGUCAGCAGGCCGGCGUGGUGGCUCACCGAGGCGCCGGGACCCCGGGACCCCGUGAUUGAUUGGCCCGCGCCGGACCGACAUGGCACUGAACCCCUGCAGAAAUCGAACUCUUCCCAGGAUGAAGAGGCUCCGCUCCCUAGCCCGGUUGAAUGUGGAAGGGGAUCGAAGUCAUGGGAUAUGUGUUGUUUUCUUUGCUUCUCUCUCCCCCCAAUGGGAGAAGGUGGGAAAUGAUUGUGGAAAUUAGUUAAGUGACCCCCAUGGUCUCAUCUUGUGUCUUGUGUGGGCUGGGUCUGGAUGGGUUUAUGUGUGCGGGUUUAAUGUGAAACUUAAUAAGAGUUAAAAAUGUUGGAGCUGUACAGUGGAGAUUUUGUUAUUAGCGCGAUUAGUCGUAAGUGGACAUCAUGUUGAUUAUAUAUAAUUAUCUCCUAAUGGAAAGGUUGCCGGAUUAGCCCAACGCUAGCUGUGUGAGCAAGGAGAGAUUUACAUCUGGCAAA